GAUGAACGCUGGCGGCGUGCCUAAUACAUGCAAGUCGAGCGAACGGACGAGAAGCUUGCUUCUCUGAUGUUAGCGGCGGACGGGUGAGUAACACGUGGAUAACCUACCUAUAAGACUGGGAUAACUUCGGGAAACCGGAGCUAAUACCGGAUAAUAUUUUGAACCGCAUGGCUCAAAAGUGAAAGACGGUCUUGCUGUCACUUAUAGAUGGAUCCGCGCUGCAUCAGCUAGUUGGUAAGGUAACGGCUUACCAAGGCAACGAUGCAUAGCCGACCUGAGAGGGUGAUCGGCCACACUGGAACUGAGACACGGUCCAGACUCCUACGGGAGGCAGCAGUAGGGAAUCUUCCGCAAUGGGCGAAAGCCUGACGGAGCAACGCCGCGUGAGUGAUGAAGGUCUUCGGAUCGUAAAACUCUGUUAUUAGGGAAGAACAUAUGUGUAAGUAACUGUGCACAUCUUGACGGUACCUAAUCAGAAAGCCACGGCUAACUACGUG
Molecule: ribosomal RNA, 497 nt
Filed under: uncultured bacterium
Lineage: Bacteria
Description: partial 16S ribosomal RNA
Rfam family: Bacterial small subunit ribosomal RNA
Source: RNAcentral